This is a long non-coding RNA of Pseudoliparis swirei, 6369 nucleotides long. RefSeq lists it as uncharacterized. Lineage: Eukaryota; Metazoa; Chordata; Actinopteri; Perciformes; Liparidae. The transcript has 2 exons. The record is from RefSeq and is a predicted model, not a curated record.
GAGAGAUGGCAGCAAGCGGUACGUCUGACAAUGUCACAGCAGGGGGACUGACACUGUGGGCUUUUUAAUGUUCAUCUGAAAGAGUAAAAAAAAUGUUUGCGAUCCCACAAGCGCCUGUCAAACAUGCUUUACUGAAAAUGUAUUCAUAGAGCUGGCUCUGAUGUAAGCCUAAACAAAGCUCUGAAUGUUGCUUCCUACAGCAGCCUGUUGGUCUCCCUCGACAUGAUAGCUAUAGCAGAUAUUUAUUUCUUCCAUCUGGAUUUGUAUUUCUUUUCUACAUAUUUGACCCCAACAGCAGCAUCAUAUUUUAAAGAUAACAUGGGUCAGAGAGAAGAAGAGAUAAAUCUAGGGUUGUAUGGAUUUUUCAGUAUGCCAGAGUUGAUCGUGAAUGGAAAAAGAUCAAUCUAAAAGUGCAUAAUGGUCACAUUGCUCACCUGUCAUUGAAGCAAUAACCAAUCCAACACCACCAAGAAGAAGAAAAACAACCUUUACUAAAGUCCUCCAUCCUUAGUUAUUCUAUUCCAUUCUAGCAUUGUCCAUGUGCAGCUUAUAGUGAUAACACAGGAAUUACCAUCCACAUUUACAGGCUAGUUUUUAAUAUAGUGAUUACACCAUCUAGCUAGUUAGUCUAAACUGUGUUCUUUUGAGUAUGCUAACAAUGGUUAAUUUGUUUUAAAAGCAGAACUCUGUAAACACACACAUAUGUGAACAUCCCCACAAGUUGUGAUCCAUGUAGAAUACACUUCUUAGAGCUAGUAAGCCAUCAAUACAACACAGCAGGUCAUUUCUUGUUUUACCUUAAUCUCUGUUUGGAUACUUACUCAAGAAAACAUAGUUUACUUCGACAAGCAGCAAAGGUUAGAAUCAUGCAAUAUUAUUAUGUAUUUAAAAACAAAUUUUUACUGGAAACCAUGAUCUCUGUUGGGCAGAGGCGAACAAUCAGCUUAGGGUUACAAGGACACCGUUUUUUACGCUUACUUCAAAAUGCAAAUAACGACACUGUCAUUGACACUGAGCUAAUUUAAAGGGGUGACCAUCGUGAUGGACCAGUAAUGAAAAUCGAUGAAGGCAGCACGCUGUGGUGCAAAUAAAGGCAUACAUUUACGUGGGUGGCAGGCGUGCACGCACGUUGUGUCCUCAUCGGGAUGCAGACAAAGGUCGCAGGAAAUGCUGUCUCCCUCACCCUCUGUCUUACUCUGCUUUCACGCUGCCGCUCAUAUCAUCCAUCUAUCUGUUAUCCAGAGCAGCAGUUGCAUAUAGCUGCAUCAUCCCCUCCCCCCCGUCUGUCAUACUAAAAUGACCUUCACUAGCAAAACACAUGGCGGAGGAUGGAAAAGACAGAAGAGUGGCACGGAGAGAAAAAGGAGAAGAAGAGGAGGGAGGAGAUGUGGUCAAUUAAGAUCGCGGUCGAAAAUAGGCAAAGAUGAUGGAGGUCUAUGGGGAGGAGGAGAUGCAGUGUAAAUGGCAGAAGGAUGGACAAGAAACAAUAAUGUUUCCAUGAAGAAUGGAACAAAAGGUAAGUGGAAUGAUAGCACACUCACACAAAUAAAUCCUUGUUCUGCACAUCUGCUUUCUGCCUUUGCAUUAUCCCCCAUAAAGCAUUUUCAGGUAACACCUCUGUCCACAUCCAGUGGAAAUUAACCAGUGAUACAGAAGAUACAGUAUAUUCUACGAACAAAGAUAGUCAAGUCUCUCUUGGAAGAGCACUGUCUCAUGUGGAUGUAAUGACAGGGGGAUGAUUCACUGUGUCCAUGUGUGUUUGACCUUCUCUUUAACCUUGUUUAUCCCUGUUUCACUGCACUGAUGAUGAACACACGAAGGGGAGGGAGACUGAUGGAGAAAAAAAACAUGGAGGGAGGCAGUGCGGUUCAUCACUUCAGCAUCAAGAAAACCCAGAGAGGGGAUCUGUUGCUGCUGUUAACCGUGAGAGGAGGAGAGGAAACAAUAAGACAGAUAGCAGACUGCAUCCGCGGAGUGAAAGGGAACAGAUUUCUUCAUAAUAAUUAUAAUAAUGCAUAAUGUCCUUUGUGCAUAAUUUCCUUUGUGAAAAGGACAUGUCCUUUUCGAACACGCUUCAGUUUUUCAGGAAUUAUAAUGAAUCAGGUCAGAGGAAUGUGAGACACAAUUUGACACACUUUAGGGGCAAACAAACCUGUAUUUUGAACACUGCUUCUUUGCAUUUCUUCCGUGUCUUUUUAUUUGUCUGCCGGUGUAUUCCUCCUACUCAAUCACGGUUUGAGGAUGUGAGGUGACUUUACAUUUCCAGUGCAGUUUAUGUGUUGAUUGAUUGCAGCUAUAGUGAAAAACAUGUUGACUAAGUGUUUGAUAAUUACAACUUGCAUUAAUACCAUGUUUGUGGUAAGACGAUGGGAUUGAAAUGUCAAAGCAAAGCUACAUUUUCAUAUGCAGAGGUUAGUAUUUGAAGAACGUUAAUUACAGUGGAAAAGAUCCAUUCACUCUGACAGAAUUUGUUUUGGCUUUUGAAGCUUGUAAAUGUGUCUCUUGUGAGAGGGAUAACCAAAGGGUCAAAAAGAGCAGAAAGACAGAAAAGAGGCUUUAAUCUAGUGCAGGAUGUAUAAAGGUGAACCAACAUCACAACAAUCUCCCAUGGGUCAAGCAUGUCCCAAUAAGCCAGUGAUUCACUCCAAGCCUUUGUUCCUGUGCUCAUCAGCUGCUUCAGUACAUCAUCAGAGAGAUUAAAUAAACUGUGACAAAUGUGUCAUUAAAUUAGUGAAAGCCACCGAAACAGAACAUUUCAGAAGCUGCUGUUGAGGACAUGGUGCAGUUGGAAAUGCAAUUUUAAGACUGUUAUCCAGCGCGUGACGAAAUAGUCCAUAAGGGCACGAUCACACCAGACGCGCCUCUCAAAAACGCAUCGCCCGCAAAACCAUUGAUUCCCGAUGGUACGGCGCGACUUUUAGACGCGCCUUUUAAAUGCCACGCGGCGCGUUUUUUUGCCGUUUUUCAGGCGCGGUUAAAAGUUAAAACAUUCUCAACUUUAAGCGCGAGGCGCGCCGCUCAUCAAUGUCACACUCAGCCAAUGCAGCUAAUCUAAUCAAGCAGGAGGCGGGCUUUCCUUCCUGUUUUCCCGACGAGAACCUCAUAUUAGCGGUAUUUAAUUACGAAGGGCUUUAUAAUUCAAAUUUAAACACUACUCAAACUGACUCCUGCUCGGUCGGAAGUGCAACUGAAAGCGCUCGCCAUCAAGACACAAUUUGCGGAAUAUAUGGUGGUAUUCGCCGUACCCUUUCCUUUCUAUUUUUAAAAUAUCUUGAACCCAAAAUCAAUGAUUGGUUGCGCACGCAGGUCCGUUCCACAGGCGCACUGUUUUGCCCCACACGUUUUUGACAAGGCGUUUUUGGCGCGGCUGCGUUUUUUAGAGCCGCGUCUGGUGUGAUUGUGCCCUUAGUGUGUAAACCGCAUGCGAACACAAGAUCAUUACAACAUCAUUACAACAUCAUUGUCUACUAAAGAGAAACAGAAAGCACUCCAAACAGAUUGGUUAAUUCCCAUCACCUGCCCUCAGCCACUCCUCUGUCUCCUUGAUUGGUUAAUUCCCAUCACCUGCCCUCAGCCACUCCUCUGUCUCCUUGAUUGGUUAAUUCCCAUCACCUGCCCUCAGCCACUCCUCUGUCUCCUUGAUUGGUUAAUUCCCUACACCUGCCCUCAGCCACUCCCGUCUCCCUGAUUGUAUCUUGCCGUACACCUGUUUUUCCCCCUAUGUAUUGUGCCAGUCUCCUGUCGGUUUGUUGGCUUUUAUCUCAGGCUCGUAGUGUCGCUGUUUCGAUGUCUUACUCUCAGUCUUUGUUCCUAUGGUGAUGCCUAGUGUUUUUUGUUGUCGCUUUUAAGCCAGAGUUUUUAUGUUUUACCUUUUUCCAAAGUAAAGUGUUUUUUGUUUCACUCUGCACCUGGAGUCCAGCCUCUCUCUCUGCACCUGAGCAUCACCCGUGACAUGGUGAAUGUUUUCACACCCAUAAAGCUCACUAACUAACACAUAGUAUUUGCCCCUUCCUGUUAUCUAAGCUGAUAUAUGGUCUUAUUUGUGACUAAGGCACACAAGCAUAAGUCACAGUGGUACUAGCCCAGUGGACAUUUUCCAUCACACCUUUUAAUUAUUAAAUCCUUCAACAGAUUUAUACAGAACACAUUCCUCUUUCAGAAGACCACAAUUAUGUUUCUUGGUACAAAAUUACAAGGUAACCCGAUGGAGCAGCAUACCCUCCUCUUCCUCCUCCUCCUCAUGUACACUUACAUCAGCAGUUACAAAGUUUGCCUUGAGGUUUUAUCUCAAAUGAUAAAAAAGAAGCAAUCACCUUUGAACUUAUAUCUUAAAUCUGCAGUAUAUCUCUGGGGAAUCGCUAAUUGAAAACACAGAAUAGACAAGUGAAUGCUUGAAGACAUAAUGUCUCUUUUAUGUUUUUCUUCUUGUAAUUUACUGUGACGUGUUUUUGAUGUUUAGACGCCUUGAGAUAUUGAGUUCAAUUAGAAAUACAUUUUCUGUACUUAAAGCUCCCUUGCAAUAUGUUUAGAUGUUUGAAGGAGCAGCAGGAUGGCAGCUACACAUAUAUUGUUCUUUCUUUUCAGAUGAACAUAAUGUACAGGAAAAUUCAUUAGAUGACAUGGUGUUUUAUGAAAAGGAAUACAAACUUGAACUUGUUAUCAAUCUGCAUGAUUGCACAAAGCUGCUGUCAGCGUCAGCUCUGUCGAGUAAAGCAUCAAUCCGUCUCUUUUUAUGGUUUUUCAUUUUUACUGUCGCUUUCAUCAUAUUCCGAGCAAAAUGUGACAUCAUUUUGGGAUAUUUGGGAAUAAUCUUCCUUUUUAAUGUCUGUUUAUGUUGUGUGUGGAUGCUUUAAUCUCUUUUGUAUUAAGUAUUCUUUUAUCAUAUUAAAAGACGUGUUGUGCUUUGUUCAGGGAGGUGUUUUUCAAUAUCUAUACUCUGUACUCCAUAAUCAAUUGGAAUUUGUGUUAUUGGGCUUUUAAAAUAUUAUUUACUUAAUUGUCCUCCAUAAUGUGUUCUCAUUGUAAAUACAGACAAUAAAACAUCUCUUUUUUAUCUCUGUACUCGGUCCGGAGGAUAAAAUCCAUAGAGGAUUCGUUGUCUUUCAUGUUCCCUGUGUUAUAGUAAUGUACUGUAUCUUCAUAAUGUGUGUUAAUACAUAGGCAAUGAUGCAACACAAAAUAAGUCAAGGACAUAUUUGGACAUCACAGCUGUGAUUAUCUGAGGGAAGCUGCUUUUUAACCAUAUCUCCGUCUCUGUUGGAUAUUAAGAGAAGGAAAACAAAUGCUUUGGCGUAUUACAACUGACAUUCACACAUGACUUUAUGAGUGUAAAGUGGCCUGUUGAGUGGAGAAAGGAAGCACAAUGAACUCAUCAUGGAAAUACUGCUCUUUCGGUGUAAGAGUUGCACCAGCUGUCAGCCUUCAUCAUAUGCUGCUUACAUUAUUGAAUUCACUCAGUAGAAUAUUAUUAGAUGGCGUCACUCAGGCGUUAUAUUAUUCUACUAAAAAUAUAUUUUGGCAGCAUCCUGCAGAGUUCUCAGCCAUGAAGGGUAAACAAAGAUAAAGCCUUAAGAUUAGUUGAAAAUAAUCGAAGGGCCUUGAAAUCCGUAAACCUCAGCGCUCUCCCUUCAUCUGAUUUAAAGGAUCUUUGUCUGAUUUCAACUUGACAAGAUGUGUGAAAAUGACGGAUUAAAGAAUGUCAUCUUUUUGGUCUUAACGAGACCUUUUGGAGAAAAUUAAUCAAAAUGUCUGUGACUGUGUGUAAACUGUUUUUGUGCAGUGCCUACCUGUCAUCCUUAUCUUCUGAGGAAACGUCAUCUUUCAACACCCACAGUGUGUCUGUCACUGUCACUCACACUGUUUCAAUCAGAUCCAUCUUUCUUGGAGGAAGGAGUUGGUGUAUGUACCGUCAUAUAUUUAUGAUGUGAGAAUGAAGUCAAACGGAACAAGAAAUGUACCUCCUUUAAAGUGGACAGAGACGAAGGGCCAGUGUUCAUUUGGCACAACGAGACACAAUUUUUGAAAGACGGACAAAUUAAAUAAAUACUUAUUUGCCUGCAUCUGUGGAACCACACAUUGUAGCUCAUAACUAGUCAUCUUGCCUGUAAUAAUUUGGGGCCAGUAUAAGGUUGGAGGAAUAGAAGAAUUAUUCCAGGCCCAGGCUUUUGGUUUUUACAAUAAAGGAGGUAUUAAAUUGUUUUACACGUUUUACACCUUAAACUUAUUCGUGUACAUGUUGAAUACGAAUGGAUUUUUAACUUCAUACUCUCUGAUCAUGCAAUCAGUUCUUUGUGGAAAAAAGUAAUACAUUUAAUUUUCUGAUGUUUAGCUUUCAAAUUACUAGCUGUGUAAUAAAAGGUGUGACAUGAA